CUUUAAUUAAGAAGUACAUCUCCAGAUCAUAAAAAAUUCCAGUACUUCCCUACUAUAAAUAUCCUCAGACUUUAAUGCAUAUUUAAUUGAGCCCUCCUCUGGUGCAUAGACUAUCCGAGGCUUUCAGCUCUGAACCAGACACCCUGGUGGCAACUACAAACCAAACAUGGGGGCAACGGAACCAAAAGCAUGAGUUCAGUAAUCCAGCCAGCAAGCAAACACAGCACUUAUUUUUCCAGUAUUAGAAAUGAGGUAGCUCCAUAUUUCAUGAUUCAAUUGCUUCCACAUCACUUCUUGCUGUUCCAGCUAUUCAGGGUAACAGACAAACAGGAGAUGAGAUGAGAUGAGCAGCUGGUUUAUUUCCAGAACUGACCAUGUACCAGGUGCUAAGAGGCAAUUUCAAAAAAACUAAAAUUAAAACUAAAUACAUUUCCCCCAAGCAUUUUAAAAGGCGAUUUCUGUCCUUUGUCUGACGAUGAACUGCCCUCAUACUCCACUCUUUCCAGUGCAUGUGAGGAUGUAGACUUCUAUUUUUAAAUCCUGCUAAAAAUACACUCAGUUCACAGGGGACAGAAGUAUAUUCUACAGCUGUAGAUCUACAAACAACAUCAAUCCCUCUUUUUUUGGGAGGGUUGUAGCAGCCUACAGUCCCUGCCACAGCUUAACUGACCCCUGUCCCCAUCCUUCCUCCUGGCUGGGGUGAAGACUGUCCAUCACCGCCAACACACUCUGCUGUCGUGCUCAAAGCAGGACCUGGGGAGAAGACGCAAAUCUGUUCUGUCAAGCUGGGAACUGAGUCCAGGAGCAGUUUUUCUGACCAGAGACAAAUAUUCUUCUGAGCACAGGGUAAAAUUCCAGAAACAAAAGAUUUAAAUAUCUCUGUUAUGUUGCAUUUUUUACCUUGUCUGUGUUUCUGUGCUACUUUGAAUUUCAUAACCUUUACCUAAUGGACACCAUAACAGCGAAACUUAAAAUAAGGGAAAGAUGCUGCAAUUGAUUAAGGGGUGAUUUGAAUUGCUAAUCCUGCUCAAGUCAUUACUGAAGAAUGCAACGUUAUCUCCAUUAUGCAAAUCUUUAUCCCAUUCAGUAGGUUAGUAAACACCAUUAAAAAGCCAGGUUUCAGUGUAUGUUGAAUCACUGAGCUGAGUUCUAACAUUCCUUACAAUUACUCCUGAGUUCUGUCUAAUCAUGUUUCUAAUUAGCUGUGAAAGGAAAGAAUAAACAAUGUGUUUCUAUGACAGCAAGGAGCUCAGUGAUAUAAGAAAAAAAGGAGUUACAUCUAUAUUUAGAAGAGUCUUUAACUAAAAAGAUUUUCCCUCAGCUUCCUUAAAUUGUUUUUCAGAAAUAAGUUAAUCUUCCCUGUAUGUGAAGUCCUCAGGGACCGAAUUUUUUUUUUUUUUCUCAAAGACUAUACUAGCACCUGGUGGGAACGAUGAUGGUCACAUGCAAACUCCAAGAAAUUUGGCAGCUUCGCCCAACCUCAUUUUUAAUACAACACAAACUCUACACAGAGCCCGUGCAGUGCUUCCACCAACUUAGCUUUUUAGCACUACAGUCCUUACACUGAACCAUGGAUCACAAAAGUAAGACUAUGAAUACACUGUAAAAUAAGGAGCAGGCUUGGCAUUAAUCUAAACUUGACUGCUGAGCUCAGAAGGAAUAGCAAAAAUUACAAUGAUUUCAAAUGUUAGUUUUAAAUGAUGCCUUCUAUUUACUGGUGUGGUCAUGAUGGGCAGCAGGUUUGUCUUGGGGGAAGGUAGGGAGAGAAAAAGGUUAUGCAUUUUACAAGAACUGUAUGUAAUACAUGAUUAAUUUGAGUUUUAAAUGGUAGCAUAGAAGACCGUGGGUUAUCAGAGUGAAGAAUGUUAAUUAAAUACAGAUUUACAUUUCCCUAAAAAUUCUUUGCAGACUUGAUCACUGUUGUGAAUCCUGCUACAAUCAGACCAAGGGUUAAUUAUAUCCUUUACUGAACAAUAAAAAAGCCACCCAGCAACACAACAUUCAGUGAUGACUUCUGAUGGAGUGCUGCUUUUGACACAAAUUAUGAUGCAGGGAACUUUGUAGCACAGGGAAUGCAUGUGCCAGAGGGGACACCACACAUGGAUGGCAGCUCCCAGCCACAAUGCUGUACCCAACUGCAGGACCUCAUCCCAAAGCUUAGGAGCAGACACACAGUCUCUCCACCUCAUAUUUGCUCUUUCUCCAAGGCCACAAGAAGGCUUCCUCCUUCGGGCAGCUCUGAAGGCUCCUGACUGCCCCAUUCCCUUUUGCACCUUUCUUUUCCUAAAUGAGGAUGUGCAUUCCUCUGACACUGUCAAGCAAGUCCCUGGCUAUUUCAAAUAGCAACCCUAAAGCACCAUAAAAGCAAGCCACUACCCUGAGCCAAGCGUGCUGUUGCUGUGCGUGCUGUUGCUCCUGUAGCCUCCAAAUGUAAGUUACCGAGCUGGUACCAAACCACUGCCACACUGCCUACACUUAGGCAGCUAAAGCUCUUCAUUAGUCAAAUGCAAACAAUUCCAAGUGUGAUUGAAUUUCUGAAAACCAGGGUUAGAUUUAAACUGUGCCCAUUAUUUACCAUGAAAAAUGAAAUAACUACUACCAGUAAAAUGGCUGCAUCACAUAUGUGUCUCUAAUAAAAACUAACGUCCUUCUCUUUGUCCUAAUUUUGUGCUGUAUGCACCUAUCUACACAAUCACAUUUUGUCUUCAAAUGCUUCCCUGUGCAAACAGCUUUCCAGAAGGUCUUUCCAAAUCAUGUUCUAUUCAGCCACAGGGUUCACCAGUACAUCUGGCAUUAGAAAUCCUCUUCCUCCCCUGCUGCUGUCUUUCCUGGCACAGCAGACAAAUUGAUGUGUGAAGUUAAGGGAGGUGGGAGACGGCUGCACCAAGGACCAGUAACCAAGGCACUGAGUCAACAGCAGGUCACUAUGCACAGGGCAAGCUAAAGCAAAAGGUCACUUAUAAUCUGUACAUGCUCAUUGAUCUGCCUUGGGAGGACAAACAUUCCUUGGCAGAGAACUUAUUGAAUGUUUGAAGCCAACGAGCAGAUAGUUUCACAUGGAGGAAAAUUCCCUGGUUUCACCUCUACAAAUAAAUCAGUGCUGGGGAACACAAAAUAUUCUGCUUUCCUACUCAUUCCAGCCCAGCUGGCUUGGAGACUUGGAGACUCAGGGAAUUAAACAGGAGAAUCAAAUCAGAGCAGGUCAGUCCAUCUGCCUUUGUCUGCAACACUUUUUUUGACCCUUGGACAUCCUUUCAAACAGGCUAAUUCUGUAUAAAGUCAUCCCAUUCUCCCCUAUCUUUACAACACCCAUAUCAUAUGCCUGGAAUCCUGCGAUCCCCACGGGCUUCAGCAGUUACUCCAAGAAGAAAACAAUCCAGACAGAGAAGAGCUGUUGAAAGGAUGAGGUAAAGAUGGCCAAAAAUUAAGUGAUCCUCUCUGCUCUGCCAAAUUUUAUAUUAGUUACUUAAUACUGUGUGCACUGCAGCAUAAUAUCCAUGAGCAGAGAGGAGAUAGAUAUAGAUAUAUAGAUCUAUGUAUCCAAUUAUAGCUGAUUUUCUAGAGAUCAGUGACAGUGAAAGCCAGAGUUGAUCUCUCUGGGUUCUCCAGAGGGAAUGGAGGCAGAUAGGAGGGAACCACAACAGACUUCCCUCACCACCUGACAUACAUUAAAAUUGGAGGAGUACUUUUGAAACGCUGCUUACUUGGAUCUGCAAUUGAAUUUUGCCUUAUAAUGAAAUACACAUGGCCACUGGAGCACAAGAUAAGGCAGCAUGAAAAGAAAGUGGCUAAUCAAGAACAAAAAGCCCUGCCAAGGAUGCAUUAUAUAAAUAACAAAUUGUAUACUACCUAUACCAUAAUUUAGCCCCCAUUUCAAGGCAAAGUAAGGGAAAGAUUCUAACAUCAUCAGUCCUGGGCUUGAAGUUAUUUGCUGCCUAUUUUAGGGGCUUUACAGUUUGUGAACCUUUAGGCUUACACACAGUAACAACUACAUUUUUAGUCGACUUUUUCUGUGUGCACACUUUCCACAGUUCUUCUAAGUUCAAAAAUAAAUUUCAUAUUUUAAAUUCCUACAUAUCCAGUCUGAUCUUGAUUCUGGGUUCCUGCCCAACCUGACUUAGUUUCUUCAUAACAACAUCAUCACUGAAAUGAUAUCUUGUUUGUUG
This is a long non-coding RNA of Corvus hawaiiensis (hawaiian crow), 4166 nucleotides long. RefSeq lists it as uncharacterized. Lineage: Eukaryota; Metazoa; Chordata; Aves; Passeriformes; Corvidae. The record is from RefSeq and is a predicted model, not a curated record. The transcript has 3 exons.